AGGGCACCACCAGGAGUGGAGCCUGCGGCUUAAUUUGACUCAACACGGGGAAACUUACCCGGCCUGGACACUGGAAGGAUUGACAGAUUGAGAGCUCUUUCUUGAUUCAGUGGGUGGUGGUGCAUGGCCGUUCUUAGUUGGUGGAGCGAUUUGUCUGGUUAAUUCCGAUAACGAACGAGACUCUAGCCUAUUAAAUAGGCUCUCGGCUUUUAAACGCCGGGAGGACUUCUUAGAGGGACAGGUAGCGGUUCAGCCGCACGAAAGAGAGCAAUAACAGGUCUGUGAUGCCCUUUGUUGUCCGGGGCCGCACGCGCGCUACACUGAAGAGAUCAGCGUGCUUUACGUUCCUGCUCCGACCGGAGUGGGGAACCCAGUGAACCUUCUUCGUGAUUGGGAUAGAAGAUUGUAAUUAUUCUUCUUGAACGAGGAAUUCCCAGUAAAUGCGAGUCAUAAGCUCGCGUUGAUUACGUCCCUGCCCUUUGUACACACCGCCCGUCGCUACUACCGAUUGAACGAUUU
RNAcentral lists this ribosomal RNA (519 nucleotides) under uncultured eukaryote. RNAcentral's name for it is "SSU rRNA". It matches the Rfam family "Eukaryotic small subunit ribosomal RNA", at positions 1161 to 1699 of the family's 1831-position model. The record is from RNAcentral.